GACGAACGCUGGCGGCGUGCUUAACACAUGCAAGUCGAACGGAAAGGCCCUGCUUUUGUGGGGUGCUCGAGUGGCGAACGGGUGAGUAACACGUGAGUAACCUGCCCUUGACUUUGGGAUAACUUCAGGAAACUGGGGCUAAUACCGGAUAGGAGCUCCUGCUGCAUGGUGGGGGUUGGAAAGUUUCGGCGGUUGGGGAUGGACUCGCGGCUUAUCAGCUUGUUGGUGGGGUAGUGGCUUACCAAGGCUUUGACGGGUAGCCGGCCUGAGAGGGUGACCGGCCACAUUGGGACUGAGAUACGGCCCAGACUCCUACGGGAGGCAGCAGUGGGGAAUAUUGCACAAUGGGCGGAAGCCUGAUGCAGCAACGCCGCGUGCGGGAUGACGGCCUACGGGUUGUAAACCGCUUUCGCCUGUGACGAAGCGUGAGUGACGGUAAUGGGUAAAGAAGCACCGGCUAACUACGUG
This 468-nucleotide ribosomal RNA is filed under the name uncultured bacterium. RNAcentral describes it as "partial 16S ribosomal RNA". It matches the Rfam family "Bacterial small subunit ribosomal RNA", at positions 28 to 507 of the family's 1533-position model. The record is from RNAcentral.